Sarcophilus harrisii (Tasmanian devil) is the source of this 2422-nucleotide long non-coding RNA. The record is from Ensembl. NCBI's taxonomy places the organism in Eukaryota, Metazoa, Chordata, Mammalia, Dasyuromorphia, Dasyuridae.
CGCCGCCCUGCUGCCCACCUGCAGCGGCUACAAAGGCGCGCCCGAUGUCCGCGUGCCUCGGAGCACGUGCGUCCGUUCCCCGUCUCUCAUACGGGACGGGAGUGGGGGAGGGGAGCGAUGCCAGGGGUAGAGCGGGAUAUCGGAGAAAGCCGUGUCCCCACAGGGCCCCAGGGCGCUGAGCGGUGGGGAUGGUUAGGCCGGGCUCCGUCUCCAGCCAGGGAUCAGACUCCUCUCCGUACUCCGCGAGAGAGGGAGCUCCCCAGCCCUGACGCUCCCCGAGGUCUUUGGCGCGUUUGCCCGGAGGGUGGGGAAUGGGUGACAAGCCUCGCCUCCCACAGAGAAGGAAACACGCCAUCACCUCCCAGGACCUGUGACCAACUGCCGGUCCCUUUAAGCAGCCAGGACCCUAACUCAGCCAUGUGGCCGGCUGAAGCAGAGCUCCUUUCUGUCACGCGUAGGAGCCAACACCAGGUGGCGCUCUGGAGCAGCUCACAAGCUCCCGGAGCCGCGCGGGAGAGUGGCUCUUAGCCGAGCUUUGUGACUGGCCCUUCUCUCUUGUCCGUCUAGGAGCUGCGUCGGUGUCCCCGCCAAUGGGAGAGAUGCUCUGGCCCUCAUCCUAUUUGCAAAGACUGGUUCCCUUCAUCCCGACUGUUUCCUUCCACGUCACUCACAAAGGCACACUUGUGUUACUGGCGCUAGUCAGAACGUUUGAGUAAUCGGGCAGACCCGGGCCAGCCUUCCCCGUCCCCACGCGUUCCCUGGCACUAACGGCAGCCGUUGCCCCGUUGCUCCUCGGGAGUUUUCCCACUCCCUGGUCAUCACCGAGUCGCUUCUGCUGGUGCCUUCAGAAAGCCGAGAGAGCGUUAGGCAGGCUUCUGCUUCCAGGGGGUCCUGGCCCUGCCCCCCUCUCUCCUGCUUCGGGCUUCUCCUGCAUUCAGUCUCUUUGCCAUCCCGCUCCUCCUGGAAGCGGGAUUAUCACAGUCUGAUCAAAGUAGCCAGAGAGCAAAAAAGAACCCGCAUCUUGCCUCCAGUGUCUCCCCCGUGCUCAAGAUCAGCUCUUACUUAAAAUCUCUCACUCCAUUUGGCCCCAGAAUGUUAUCACCUUGGAACGUCCAUCCCUCUAACAAGCUUGCUCCUUUCUUUCUCCCAUGGAUGGGUUCCUCCAUUUUGAGAAGGGCAUUCUCUAAUUGCUUCUCACAGUCCUGACUUCCCCACCUUUAAAACAUGUCUUCGCCAUACUGGCCCCUAUCCUUUCAUUAGUGAAUUCCACCUGAAAGGUUCGAGGAGGGGUCCAGGCUAUCUAGUGUUCCUCCCACUUCUUUGCUCCCUUUCUAGUUUUAUAGCACUAUUUUGUGCCUUAUCUUUCCACAUUUUAGAGUGUAGGCUCUUUGAGAGUAGAGUGCUUAUAUUUUAUUUCCAGCAUUUAACAGUGCUUGGCAACUAAUAAACACUUAACAAAUGCUUUGAAUCUUAUCAACCUGAUCUUUUUGAAAUUAAGUGCACAAGAAGUCACGAUCUGCUCCACCACCUCUACUAACACCCCAAGUCUAACUGGAAUGGACAUAGAUGUUACAUUUGUAUUUAUGCAUCUAGAUAGAUUGCCUAUAUAUAUAUAUAUGUAUGCCUCUCUAUAGCAGAAUGCAAGAUAUUUGUAUUCAAGAACUUUUAGAUUUUUACAUUUUUAUCUUCAGUUUUUAGCACAGCAUCUUUGUGCAUAACAGAUGCUAAAUGAAUGUUUACUUGAAUUUAGUCUAACUCCCUCAUUUUGCUGAUGAGGAAAUGAAGCCCCAGAGAAGUGACUUUGGCAGUCACCUCCUGCAGAGCAAUUCUUUCUAACCUUUAAUUGCCUGGUUCAACCCUCAUUUUUAUAGGAGAGAGAAAAUGAACUAUAUAAGACUGAACAUAUAGCAAAUGGGGUCCAAAGCCAGGUAGUCGGGAUCCAAAUUCCUUGUUCUUUUCAUUGUUUCAUGUUACCCACUCUGUUUCAUGACCUACUCUGCUUCCCCUAAAAGAUGGGAUAUAUCAACUUUUGAUCCAGCAGUGUUUCUUCUGGGGGUGUGUGCGUGGCAAAGAGAUUAUUAAAAAAGAGAAAAGGACCCAUGUGCAAAAAUGUUUGCAGCAAUUGUCAGUGCUGUAAAGUUACCCAUACAUAUAACCUGUAAAUAAAAGGCUAUUAAAUAAAAUUUAAAAAAAAAAAAAAACAGGAAAAAAAUGUUUGCAGCAGUCUUUUGUAGUGGCAAGGAACUGGAAACUGAGUGGAUGCUCAUCAGUUGGAGAGUGGCUGAAUAAAUUAUGAUAUAUGAAAUGGAAAAUUAUAGAAAUGAUCAUUAGACUGAUUUCAGAGAGGUCUGGAGAGACUUAACAUGAAUUGAGGUUAAGUGAAGUAAGUAGGAUCAAAGGAAUAUUGUACACAGCAUCAACA